CUCCAAUGAGGACAGCUGUAUCUGGGUCACUCAGACACAUUGUAUGGCUCCAACGCUUUGAUGGGCAUGCUGAAACUAAUCACAGCCUCCAUGAACACAGUUUCUGUGCAAACAGAUGUGGCUUCAGAGACUGGAAUGAGGAUGUCCUACCUACCUCUCCGCAGACCUUCAGUACAAUCUUGCCAUACACUCCUCUCCGGCCUCUCUCUGCCGCCGCUCUGAUGAUGUCAUCGCUCCAGUCACCUUCCCAGAGUCCCUAUGUUCUGUGGCUGGACAUCCUCACCGACCACCACCUCGGCCGACAAUGUUGCGUCUUUGCACGACCAUUCUCCCAAACCGAAGACGACCAGCUGUUUGGGAAGAGGCAGCGGGAUGUGGACUUGGAAGCACCUUCUGUUGGAUUUGCUACAGACAUCCAGACAAUAAAUUUGAAGGCUUACAAAACAAACUUUUUUCAUUUUUUUUUCGAACAGGAAAUAUAGAGGAACAACAUGUCUGAUGUACAACAGAAUAUAAACAUAAUAUUUAAGGGUAUUAAAGAACAUGCCUAUUAUAAGGUCAGAAUAUAAAUUGGUGCUAGAGGGUUGUAAUCUUUCAAGGGCAGAUAUAAUUUGAUUGGCUUUAACAUUUAAACUCGACUUUUUUAACUCUUUAAGAUAUUAAUUGAAGGUAAUAUCUGGAAAUUAGGUUUUGUUGCAGAUGUUUGGAGGAGUAAAUAUGGCAUUUACCAUAAAUCUUAAAGAAAUAAACAACAAAUAAAAGG
Molecule: long non-coding RNA, 763 nt
Organism: Girardinichthys multiradiatus
Lineage: Eukaryota; Metazoa; Chordata; Actinopteri; Cyprinodontiformes; Goodeidae
Exons: 3
Source: RefSeq, a predicted model, not a curated record